CGCGUAGGCGGUCUUGUCAGUCAGAUGUGAAAGCCCGGGGCUCAACCCCGGAAGUGCAUUUGAAACUAUGAGACUUGAGUAUGGGAGAGGGAAGUGGAAUUCCCGGUGUAGAGGUGAAAUUCGUAGAUAUCAGGAGGAACACCGGUGGCGAAGGCGACUUCCUGGACCAAUACUGACGCUAAGGCGCGAAGGCGUGGGGAGCAAACA
Molecule: ribosomal RNA, 207 nt
Filed under: uncultured bacterium
Lineage: Bacteria
Description: partial 16S ribosomal RNA
Rfam family: Bacterial small subunit ribosomal RNA
Source: RNAcentral